This is a non-coding RNA of Triticum aestivum (bread wheat), 131 nucleotides long. The record is from Rfam. Lineage: Eukaryota; Viridiplantae; Streptophyta; Magnoliopsida; Poales; Poaceae.
AUUAUACUCCCUUCGUCCGAAAAUACUUGUCAUCAAAAUGGAUAAAAAAAGAUGUAUUUAGACAUAUUUUAGUUCUAGAUAUUUUUUUAUUCAUUUUGAUGACAAGUAUUUUCAGACGAAGGGAGUACAUC